RNAcentral lists this ribosomal RNA (1647 nucleotides) under Shigella flexneri. RNAcentral's name for it is "partial 23S ribosomal RNA". It matches the Rfam family "Bacterial large subunit ribosomal RNA", at positions 1 to 1681 of the family's 2925-position model. The record is from RNAcentral. Lineage: Bacteria; Pseudomonadati; Pseudomonadota; Gammaproteobacteria; Enterobacterales; Enterobacteriaceae.
GGGUUGUGAGGUUAAGCGACUAAGCGUACACGGUGGAUGCCCUGGCAGUCAGAGGCGAUGAAGGACGUGCUAAUCUGCGAUAAGCGUCGGUAAGGUGAUAUGAACCGUUAUAACCGGCGAUUUCCGAAUGGGGAAACCCAGUGUGAUUCGUCACACUAUCAUUAACUGAAUCCAUAGGUUAAUGAGGCGAACCGGGGGAACUGAAACAUCUAAGUACCCCGAGGAAAAGAAAUCAACCGAGAUUCCCCCAGUAGCGGCGAGCGAACGGGGAGCAGCCCAGAGCCUGAAUCAGUGUGUGUGUUAGUGGAAGCGUCUGGAAAGGCGUGCGAUACAGGGUGACAGCCCCGUACACAAAAAUGCACAUACUGUGAGCUCGAUGAGUAGGGCGGGACACGUGGUAUCCUGUCUGAAUAUGGGGGGACCAUCCUCCAAGGCUAAAUACUCCUGACUGACCGAUAGUGAACCAGUACCGUGAGGGAAAGGCGAAAAGAACCCCGGCGAGGGGAGUGAAAAAGAACCUGAAACCGUGUACGUACAAGCAGUGGGAGCACGCUUAGGCGUGUGACUGCGUACCUUUUGUAUAAUGGGUCAGCGACUUAUAUUCUGUAGCAAGGUUAACCGAAUAGGGGAGCCGAAGGGAAACCGAGUCUUAACUGGGCGUUAAGUUGCAGGGUAUAGACCCGAAACCCGGUGAUCUAGCCAUGGGCAGGUUGAAGGUUGGGUAACACUAACUGGAGGACCGAACCGACUAAUGUUGAAAAAUUAGCGGAUGACUUGUGGCUGGGGGUGAAAGGCCAAUCAAACCGGGAGAUAGCUGGUUCUCCCCGAAAGCUAUUUAGGUAGCGCCUCGUGAAUUCAUCUCCGGGGGUAGAGCACUGUUUCGGCAAGGGGGUCAUCCCGACUUACCAACCCGAUGCAAACUGCGAAUACCGGAGAAUGUUAUCACGGGAGACACACGGCGGGUGCUAACGUCCGUCGUGAAGAGGGAAACAACCCAGACCGCCAGCUAAGGUCCCAAAGUCAUGGUUAAGUGGGAAACGAUGUGGGAAGGCCCAGACAGCCAGGAUGUUGGCUUAGAAGCAGCCAUCAUUUAAAGAAAGCGUAAUAGCUCACUGGUCGAGUCGGCCUGCGCGGAAGAUGUAACGGGGCUAAACCAUGCACCGAAGCUGCGGCAGCGACGCUUAUGCGUUGUUGGGUAGGGGAGCGUUCUGUAAGCCUGUGAAGGUGUGCUGUGAGGUAUGCUGGAGGUAUCAGAAGUGCGAAUGCUGACAUAAGUAACGAUAAAGCGGGUGAAAAGCCCGCUCGCCGGAAGACCAAGGGUUCCUGUCCAACGUUAAUCGGGGCAGGGUGAGUCGACCCCUAAGGCGAGGCCGAAAGGCGUAGUCGAUGGGAAACAGGUUAAUAUUCCUGUACUUGGUGUUACUGCGAAGGGGGGACGGAGAAGGCUAUGUUGGCCGGGCGACGGUUGUCCCGGUUUAAGCGUGUAGGCUGGUUUUCCAGGCAAAUCCGGAAAAUCAAGGCCGAGGCGUGAUGACGAGGCACUACGGUGCUGAAGCAACAAAUGCCCUGCUUCCAGGAAAAGCCUCUAAGCAUCAGGUAACAUCAAAUCGUACCCCAAACCGACACAGGUGGUCAGGUAGAGAAUAC